AGUGGCGGACGGGUGAGUAACGCGUAGGAAUCUGCCUGAUAGUGGGGGAUAGCCCGAAGAAAUUCGGAUUAAUACCGCAUAAUCUAUUCGUAGUAAAGUGGGGGACUUUCGAGCCUCACGCUAUCAGAUGAGCCUGCGUAAGAUUAGCUUGUUGGUAGGGUAAAAGCCUACCAAGGCGACGAUCUUUAGCUGGUCUGAGAGGAUGAUCAGCCACAUCGGGACUGAGACACGGCCCGAACUCCUACGGGAGGCAGCAGUGGGGAAUAUUGGACAAUGGGGGCAACCCUGAUCCAGCAAUACCGCGUGUGUGAAGAAGGCCUGAGGGUUGUAAAGCACUUUCAAUUGUGAAGAAAAGUUAGCGGUUAAUAACCGUUAGCCUUGACGUUAACUUUAGAAGAAGCACCGGCUAACUCCGUGCCAGCAGCCGCGGUAAUACGGAGGGUGCAAGCGUUAAUCGGAAUUACUGGGCGUAAAGCGUGCGUAGGCGGUUUAUUAAGUCAGAUGUGAAAGCCCCGGGCUUAACCUGGGAACUGCAUUUGAAACUGGUCAACUAGAGUAUGGUAGAGGAAAGUGGAAUUUCUGGUGUAGCGGUGAAAUGCGUAGAUAUCAGAAGGAACAUCAAUGGCGAAGGCAGCUUUCUGGACCAAUACUGACGCUGAGGUACGAAAGCGUGGGUAGCAAACAGGAUUAGAUACCCUGGUAGUCCACGCCGUAAACGAUGAUAACUAGCCGUUGGGGGGAUUUACCCUUUAGUGGCGAAGCUAACGCG
Molecule: ribosomal RNA, 769 nt
Filed under: gamma proteobacterium SCGC AAA076-F14
Lineage: Bacteria; Pseudomonadati; Pseudomonadota; Gammaproteobacteria
Description: bacterial SSU rRNA
Rfam family: Bacterial small subunit ribosomal RNA
Source: RNAcentral